RNAcentral lists this ribosomal RNA (514 nucleotides) under uncultured bacterium. RNAcentral's name for it is "bacterial SSU rRNA". It matches the Rfam family "Bacterial small subunit ribosomal RNA", at positions 32 to 518 of the family's 1533-position model. The record is from RNAcentral.
ACGACGCUGGCGGCGUGCCUAAUACAUGCAAGUCGAACGGUCUUUCUAUGGAAGCUUGCUUCCACUGAGAAGAUAGUGGCGAACGGGUGAGUAACACGUGGGUAACCUGCCCAUAAGAGGGAGAUAACAUCCGGAAACGGGUGCUAAUACCGCAUAGUUUCUUGAUCGCAUGAUCGGGAAAGGAAAGACGGCCUUUGUGCUGUCGCUUAUGGAUGGACCCGCGGCGUAUUAGUUAGUUGGUGAGGUAACGGCUCACCAAGACGAUGAUACGUAGCCGACCUGAGAGGGUGAUCGGCCACAUUGGGACUGAGACACGGCCCAAACUCCUACGGGAGGCAGCAGUAGGGAAUCUUCCGCAAUGGACGAAAGUCUGACGGAGCAACGCCGCGUGAGUGAAGAAAGGUUUUCGGAUCGUAAAACUCUGUUGUCAGAGAAGAACAAGUUGGAGAGUAACUGCUCCAGCCUUGACGGUAUCUGACCAGAAAGCCACGGCUAACUACGUGCCAGCCGCUGC